CCGGAAUCUUUAGCAAUACUGUGGCCACCUUGUCCCGGGCUCGUCAGGGGCUGGGCUUGGCAUUUGGCUGUACCUCCCAGGCAGCCGGUGUCCCUUGUUCUCCAGGCUCCCCUGUUGCCUGGCAACAGCGUUGGCUGCUGCGUAUUUUCUGACCAUGGCAGCUCCACUCACCCACUUUACCUGCCGGCCCAGAAUGGUACAAUCCUUGGAAAAAAUGAAGAAAUAGUGCUUCUCAGACUUCAGUGAGCACAUGGACCACCUAAAGAUCUUGCCAAAAUGGAAACCCUGAACCAACUUCAGAGGGCAGGAUGGGAGACAGAGAUGGAAAUGAGAAAGCAGGAAGGAAAAGUACUGAGAAGACUGGCUUUCUAGAAUGCAUCAUGUUGUUAUGCUGUGAACAAUGGGAACCUCUUCAGUAAAUAAACUUUAAACAACAGAAUAAAUGCAAAUGACAUGACAAAUUAUUGGCCCAAUUCAGAUGAUGGAGAAGAGACUGCACCUGUUGAUCCAUGGGCGGUACAGGUAUCUAUUCUACUGCUUCUCUCAGUUGUCACCCAACUGGAGAACGAAAACAAAACAAAAGCCAAGAAGAGAACUGAACUAUAUACUUAGCAUACCCAGUCACAUUUCAAAUAUAAGGUUUUCACAGGUCACAUAAAAGAAAACCUUUAUUUUACUAAAAAGAUACACAGCACAUAACACAUAUGCUUUACCUCCCUACCCCUUUUCUGCUGUAGGUUUUAGUUAGCAGAAAAAAAAAUCAAAUAAAGGAAAAUUCAAGUCAGAAAGAACACAAUGUGAGAUGUUCCGAAUUUCGUGAGAUUUAUCAGAAAAUUAGGAAAAACAUAAAAUUUAUUUAAAGCAUUUAUACUUGAUAAACCAAAAAUUCAUCAGAAAGCUCAGAGAGCCUAUUAAAUUUAGGAGAAUACUACCCUUGUUUCUCAGUCCA
This is a long non-coding RNA of Neofelis nebulosa (Clouded leopard), 949 nucleotides long. RefSeq lists it as uncharacterized. The transcript has 4 exons. NCBI's taxonomy places the organism in Eukaryota, Metazoa, Chordata, Mammalia, Carnivora, Felidae. The record is from RefSeq and is a predicted model, not a curated record.